GUAGAUGUAGGAAGUGACUGUAGGUUUAGAUGAAUGGAAAAUGAACUUGCCAGUUCACAGCUAUGUCCUUCCCAAUUUAGGAGGUUAAGGGCAGGAAAAACAUGAGAAACUCUUUUGAGAAGCUGCACAAGCUGACAUGGAGGAUCAAGGAUUUCAAAAGCUUUGAAUAUAAAGAGGUGUCAGACUUACAUCAGAGCCUGAGACUUGACAUGCCUAUUUUUGCACUCGCUCAUUUUUCAAAUUUCAUAGGCAUUGCUCCCUCCAAAUCACCGCUCUUCUAAUUUUAUCCUGGAGUGUGCAUCCCAGAAGACAUAAGCUGACACAAUUGGGAACUGAAGUUGCUUGAAAAAGCUGGUGGUAAGAUUAGACUCUAGACAGCUUAUACGUAUUUGGACAAGGCAACGUGAUGAAGAAAUAAUAUAAUUGUAGGAUCACCUCUGUCCAGUAGCUGUUAUCCAACAUCUGCAUACUUAGAUUUCUGGAGAGAUAUCCAUGAAUGACCAUGAAAGUACAGCAAGUGAUUUUCAAGCUGCAAACAAAUUUUAGCAAGCAAAUGGAAGAAGAAAGAGGAGAGUGGUGGUGUGUGCUUUCCCUUUAAUGGCAGAACCCAACAGUCGUACACACCACUUCUACCCUCUUAAGAUGGGUCAGAAUCCAGGCCCAAUUCCAUGUAUACAUGGAAGAGAGGCUUAUUAAAGUAGCCUUCAGUUGCUGGACAGAGUUCCAUCCAAAACUACAGUUAAUAGGACAGUCAAUAUUUUUUCCCUGAGUUUGAAAAAAUCAUUUUCAAAUGUUCACUGGCAAAUCUGGAUAACAGCAGGCUCCUCCCACGCAUGCAGACCCUGACCACAAAGCAGACAAAUUCUCCUGUUUCCCAGGCUGGAGUGCAGUGGUGCGAUCUGGGCUCACUUCAUCCUAUGCCUCCCAGGCUCAAGCGAUCCUCCUGCCUCCACCACUGGAAUAACUGGGACUACAAACUCACACCACCAUGCCUAGUUAAUUUCUGUAUCUUUUUGAGUAGAGAUAGUGUUUUGCCAUGUUAUCCAGGGUGGCCUCCAACCCGGGAGCUCAAGCCAUCCACCCUCUUCGGCCUCCCAAAGUGCUGGGAUUGCAAGCAUGAGCCACUGCACUGGCUAAUUCUUUAUUUUAAUGUUCAUGUUUUCAUUAGGCAAUUUCAGUACACCCAAGUGUAUUUUGAGAAGUGAUUCACUUUUAAUCUCUCCUAGUUUCUUUCAAUUAUGGCCGCAAAAUUCAUUAACGUUGUAUGACUGAUUUAAGGAAAUGCUGUUGCAUUAGUGAGUAUCUACUUUUAUAAACCUAAAAUAGUUUCUUACCUCAUGUCUCCUUACAAUCAUCUGAUUAUAGACAGUAUCAAUUCUAUGAACUUGCAUACUUCCAAAAAGAAAA
This 1407-nucleotide long non-coding RNA is filed under the name Homo sapiens (human). RNAcentral describes it as "long intergenic non-protein coding RNA 1684". Lineage: Eukaryota; Metazoa; Chordata; Mammalia; Primates; Hominidae. The record is from RNAcentral.